This is a long non-coding RNA of Girardinichthys multiradiatus, 394 nucleotides long. RefSeq lists it as uncharacterized. The transcript is spliced from 4 exons. NCBI's taxonomy places the organism in Eukaryota, Metazoa, Chordata, Actinopteri, Cyprinodontiformes, Goodeidae. The record is from RefSeq and is a predicted model, not a curated record.
GGAGACUGUUCGUGUGUGCGGGGGAACUUAAAAAGCAGUCUGCCCGCCUAGGUGCUGGAUUUCAAACCCCUGUGGCCAUGGCAGCAGUAGGAACAUCUGAAUUCAAUGAUUUGGAAGGCCUCUUCUAUGCAUGGACGGCUCCCAUUCCAGAAGCAUGAAUUUCUACAGCAAAUCUAACACUGACAUUACGACGAGUCGCUAACGGAUUGUUGGGACCACAGCCAUGGUUACGUGAAAGGCCAGUACAGACUUUUCUGGAACUUUCAAAAUAAACUGCAUUAACCUACUUCCGGCACAGCCAGGAAACGGGGUAAGUGCGGAUUCCUGUGACGUCACUGUCCAAAUAAAAGCACCGCUCUUGCUACAUCCUGUCUCUUCUACGCAGGUCACCCAG